Molecule: ribosomal RNA, 253 nt
Filed under: uncultured bacterium
Lineage: Bacteria
Description: partial 16S ribosomal RNA
Rfam family: Bacterial small subunit ribosomal RNA
Source: RNAcentral
UACGUAGGGGGCAAGCGUUAUCCGGAUUUACUGGGUGUAAAGGGAGCGUAGACGGCAGUGCAAGUCUGAAGUGAAAGGCAAGGGCUCAACCCUUGGACUGCUUUGGAAACUGUGCUGCUGGAGUGUCGGAGAGGCAAGUGGAAUUCCUAGUGUAGCGGUGAAAUGCGUAGAUAUUAGGAGGAACACCAGUGGCGAAGGCGGCUUGCUGGACAGCAACUGACGGUGAGGCGCGAAAGCGUGGGGAGCAAACAGG